CCUACGGGUGGCAGCAGUGGGGAAUAUUGGACAAUGGGGGCAACCCUGAUCCAGCCAUGCCGCGUGUGUGAAGAAGGCCCUCGGGUUGUAAAGCACUUUCAGUGAGGAAGAACGCCUGGUGGUUAAUACCCAUCAGGAAAGACAUCACUCACAGAAGAAGCACCGGCUAACUCCGUGCCUGCAGCCGCGGUAAUACGGAGGGUGCGAGCGUUAAUCGGAAUUACUGGGCGUAAAGCGCGCGUAGGUGGCUUGAUAAGCCGGUUGUGAAAGCCCCGGGCUCAACCUGGGAACGGCAUCCGGAACUGUCAAGCUAGAGUGCAGGAGAGGAAGGUAGAAUUCCCGGUGUAGCGGUGAAAUGCGUAGAGAUCGGGAGGAAUACCAGUGGCGAAGGCGGCCUUCUGGACUGACACUGACACUGAGGUGCGAAAGCGUGGGUAGCAAACAGGAUUAGAUACCCUUGUAGUC
RNAcentral lists this ribosomal RNA (465 nucleotides) under Vreelandella stevensii. Its description in RNAcentral is "partial 16S ribosomal RNA". It matches the Rfam family "Bacterial small subunit ribosomal RNA", at positions 338 to 795 of the family's 1533-position model. Lineage: Bacteria; Pseudomonadati; Pseudomonadota; Gammaproteobacteria; Oceanospirillales; Halomonadaceae. The record is from RNAcentral.